This 630-nucleotide long non-coding RNA is filed under the name Androctonus crassicauda. The record is from RNAcentral. Lineage: Eukaryota; Metazoa; Arthropoda; Arachnida; Scorpiones; Buthidae.
UAUCACUACAUUUUGGGAUGAAUAUUAAUAUCGAAAUAUUAGUAUUCAUUAAACAUCGAAAAAAAAUUAUUUUUCAUAUUGAUAUUUUUCUUAAUAAAAUCUUGAAAUCGAUUCACAUUAAGUCCAUAAUAAUAUUUUGCACAUAUUAUGAGAAUAAUAAAUUUAUUUGAGAUUGAGAUACAAAAUAUUAAUGACUAAAAGUAUGAUCGUAGAGUGGUGCUAUAAUCCGCAACUAGAAAGAGGUAUGACACAAGCAAGGGCAUGGGCGUUUUUUUUUUUUUUUUAAAUCAAUAUCACGUGCUUGAAUAUCGCUGAUGGUAUCUCUCAUUUCAUCGUUCCGAAGACCUUGGUUUAAGUAUAUUGCGAAAUUUGUAGAUAUAACGGAUAGACGUUUGACGCUAAGAAAGAUAAAAUCGCAUGAUAUUCGACUUGAUAACUGGAACAUAAUCCAAUUCUUCCGAAAAACUCAUAUUCAAGUUUACGACUUAGUUGAAGUUGAAGAGUACGAAGAAAUAAUGGGAUCGGUGGAAAAUGCUAAGAUUUUAUCCGGUCGAGAAGUUUCAAAGUAUUGUAUAUUUUUUCUUUAAAUAUAGUGAUAUAACUCUGUUUUAAAUUAUUUUCUCAAAUUAU